Microtus oregoni (creeping vole) is the source of this 343-nucleotide long non-coding RNA. RefSeq lists it as uncharacterized. The record is from RefSeq and is a predicted model, not a curated record. The transcript has 3 exons. NCBI's taxonomy places the organism in Eukaryota, Metazoa, Chordata, Mammalia, Rodentia, Cricetidae.
GGGUGCGACCGCACAGUCUCAAAGUGACUAGUGCCCGCUCUAGUUUCAAGACAUUCACUGCUUCUAAGGAACUUGCAGAAUAGCAUUUGGAAGAAACUGUGGGACACACAGCUGUGAUGUAACCCACAUCUCAUCUGAUGUCAAGCGCAACACUGACCAGCCAGCGGCUUCUUGAGUUUACAGACCUUCACGCGGUCAACAAGACAAAAUGAUAGCUACAGAAUCGGAAAAGAUCAUCACUAACCCCACAUCAGACAGAGGUCUGAUCUCCAAAAUAUACAAAGAACUCAAGAAAUUGGACACCAAAAGAACACAUAAUCCAAUUUAAAAAACGGAGUGCAGA